GCCCCUUCUUAGCCCUUGCCUCUAGGCUCGGGCUGGACCCUGAUGCGGUUCGAGUGCCCCAAGCACGCCCACUCGGCUGCUAUGGAUCACUCGUUGCCGCUCGUGCAUUCGGAUGCGGAACGCUAAGCGAUGCCGGGGCGCGCCCAGCAGCCCCCGCAUGACCCUAAACAACGAGCGAAACUUCGCUCCCCGAGAAUGACCACCGCGCGCGCUCGCUCUUCCAUCCAACCGUUCGCUCGGCGAUGGGAUCUAGCGCGCCGCGGUGCCUUCCUUGGCCGCUACCUGGUUG
RNAcentral lists this unclassified non-coding RNA (289 nucleotides) under Viola pseudogracilis. Its description in RNAcentral is "partial contains external transcribed spacer and 18S ribosomal RNA". The record is from RNAcentral. Lineage: Eukaryota; Viridiplantae; Streptophyta; Magnoliopsida; Malpighiales; Violaceae.